GAUGAAGAACGUAGUGAAAUGCGAUAAGUAAUGUGAAUUGCAGAAUUCAGUGAAUCAUCGAAUCUUUGAACGCACAUUGCGCCCGCCAGCACUCUGGCGGGCAUGCCUGUUCGAGCGUCAUUUCAACCAUCAAGCCCCCAGGGGCUUGUGCUGGGGCCCUGCGGCUGCCCGCGGGCCCUGAAAACCAGUGGCGGGCUCGCUAGUCACACCGAGCGCAGUAGCACAUCUCGCUCAGGGCGUGCGGCGGGCUCCUGCCGUGAAACCCCCCACUGUAACCCCAAAGGUUGACCUCGGAUCAGGUAGGAAUACCCGCUGAACUUAAGCAUAUCAAUAAGCGGAGGA
RNAcentral lists this unclassified non-coding RNA (342 nucleotides) under soil metagenome. Its description in RNAcentral is "partial contains 5.8S ribosomal RNA, internal transcribed spacer 2, and large subunit ribosomal RNA". The stretch from base 1 to 120 matches the Rfam family "5.8S ribosomal RNA", at positions 35 to 154 of the family's 154-position model. The record is from RNAcentral.